Molecule: non-coding RNA, 980 nt
Organism: Peromyscus maniculatus bairdii (prairie deer mouse)
Lineage: Eukaryota; Metazoa; Chordata; Mammalia; Rodentia; Cricetidae
Source: RefSeq, a predicted model, not a curated record
AUGAAUCUUUUAAUAAAAAUCUUUUUUUCUGAGUAAUUUCUUGUUUGUGGUUUUUUUGCUUGUCUUACAGUGUGUGACCCUGGUCUCAUGGGAGCUUAGUAUCCCUUCCUGUUCUUACAUCAGUCGCUGUAACUCAGCAUUUUCCACAGAGCCCUGCCUCGUGUCUGUCUGCUGGGACUCUGUAUCCUCGGGAUAUGUUCUGGUCUCUUUCAUGGUGGAUAAAGAGGCUGGCAGUCAUUGCUUUUAAGUUUAUGUUGAAAUCACAAGAAGUAGAUUGGAAGCUCUAUUUAUUUUUAAAUGGUAGAUAAUUCUCAUACCAUUAAGGUCACCUCUUUGAGGCACACAAUUAGGUGACUUUCAGUGUGUUUUCUAAGUUGUACAGCCACCACCACUAUCUGACGCAGCACAUUUCAUCAUCCCAGAGACAAACCCGUACCCAUUAGACACUCCUCAUCCUCAAUCCACCCCCAGGCACUGGCAUCCACUUAAUCUACUUUUGGAUUCGACUAUUUGGGAACUCAUAUAAAUAGCACCGCACGAUACACGGCUUUUGUGUUUGGUCUCUCACUCGGCACGUUUCCGGAGCCCAUGUCUGUUGCAGCACACGCCGGUGCUUCCCCAUGUAUACACCACAUCUGGUUCAUCCACGAGCCUCCAGAGACCAUCUGAUGGAUCCUGGCCCACGGGAGUGUCUGCUUCACACACAGGGACGCUGCUUCCAGUGUGGCGGGGCAGUGUAAUGACCACACCAGCGUUUCCUACCACGGCCUCUGAACAGCCCAGGCACCAAAGGACACCCACGAACUUAGAGAGCAGAAUCCAGAGGGGCAAGCCUCCUGCCGCUUCCCUUAGCAAUUCAGGUCUCAUUGCUAACUAGCCUAUUUAUUUCUGCAAGCAUUCCCCGGGUGUGUGUGGGGGGGGAGAGUGUAUUUUCUAGACGUUGACAGUCAAAAUAAAGAAUACAUUUUUGCAUUCUUCAA